RNAcentral lists this transfer RNA (72 nucleotides) under Ovis aries (sheep). It matches the Rfam family "tRNA". From Rfam's summary of the family: Transfer RNA (tRNA) molecules are approximately 80 nucleotides in length. Their secondary structure includes four short double-helical elements and three loops (D, anti-codon, and T loops). Further hydrogen bonds mediate the characteristic L-shaped molecular structure. tRNAs have two regions of fundamental functional importance: the anti-codon, which is responsible for specific mRNA codon recognition, and the 3' end, to which the tRNAs corresponding amino acid is attached (by aminoacyl-tRNA synthetases). tRNAs cope with the degeneracy of the genetic code in two manners: having more than one tRNA (with a specific anti-codon) for a particular amino acid; and 'wobble' base-pairing, i.e. permitting non-standard base-pairing at the 3rd anti-codon position. Lineage: Eukaryota; Metazoa; Chordata; Mammalia; Artiodactyla; Bovidae. The record is from Rfam by way of RNAcentral.
UCCCUGGUGGCUAAGUGGUAAAGAAUCUGCCUGCCAAUGCAGGAGACACAGGUUCAAUACUUGAUCUGGGAA